GAGGAAUAUUGGUCAAUGGCCGAGAGGCUGAACCAGCCAAGUCGCGUGAGGGAUGAAGGUUCUAUGGAUCGUAGACCUCUUUUAUAAGGGAAUAAAGUGCGGGACGUGUCCCGUUUUGUAUGUACCUUAUGAAUAAGGAUCGGCUAACUCCGUGCCAGCAGCCGCGGUAAUACGGAGGAUCCGAGCGUUAUCCGGAUUUAUUGGGUUUAAAGGGUGCGUAGGCGGCCUUUUAAGUCAGCGGUGAAAGUCUGUGGCUCAACCAUAGAAUUGCCGUUGAAACUGGGGGGCUUGAGUAUGUUUGAGGCAGGCGGAAUGCGUGGUGUAGCGGUGAAAUGCAUAGAUAUCACGCAGAACCCCGAUUGCGAAGGCAGCCUGCCAAGCCAUGACUGACGCUGAUGCACGAAAGCGUGGGGAUCAAAC
RNAcentral lists this ribosomal RNA (420 nucleotides) under uncultured bacterium. RNAcentral describes it as "bacterial SSU rRNA". It matches the Rfam family "Bacterial small subunit ribosomal RNA", at positions 356 to 773 of the family's 1533-position model. The record is from RNAcentral.